RNAcentral lists this long non-coding RNA (442 nucleotides) under Malus domestica (apple). RNAcentral describes it as "long non-coding RNA (MDOM_LNC001828)". The record is from RNAcentral. Lineage: Eukaryota; Viridiplantae; Streptophyta; Magnoliopsida; Rosales; Rosaceae.
GUCCUGAAAGAUUUCUUCCAAAGAUUGACUUUCAGGGCAUAUUUCCAACAAUUAACUCUCCAAAUAAAUGUUUAGGCUCAAGUCUCACAAGGUUGUAGCGUACAUUUGAGUUCAUUCUUUCAAACAUGUUACAAAACUAAUUUUUCCUUUAUGAUUGCAUGUGAAUUCAUAAAUUAUAACCACAACCAAGCAUACACCAAAGAGUAAAUCAAAUUUUCAUCCAUGUUUAUAACUCUUUUUAACAGUCAUGCAAUUAAAAACCAAAUCCUCAUCAUUGUGUUGGAAGGUACCCUAAGACACAAAUAAACAUACAAAAACAACUCUUUUUGGGUUUUUCAAAACAAUUUUUCAAAUUUUUAUGAGAUUUUUGGAUUUUUAUGUCAAAACACACUGAAACACUCCAAAACAGCUUAAAAACACUUAAAACAGCAAGGAACAACAC